This 753-nucleotide ribosomal RNA is filed under the name uncultured bacterium. RNAcentral's name for it is "bacterial SSU rRNA". It matches the Rfam family "Bacterial small subunit ribosomal RNA", at positions 8 to 778 of the family's 1533-position model. The record is from RNAcentral.
AGAGUUUGAUCCUGGCUCAGGACGAACGCUGGCGGCGUGCUUAACACAUGCAAGUCGAGCGGUAAGGCCUUUCGGGGUACACGAGCGGCGAACGGGUGAGUAACACGUGGGUGAUCUGCCCUGCACUCUGGGAUAAGCUUGGGAAACUGGGUCUAAUACCGGAUAUGACCGCAUGCCGCAUGGUGUGUGGUGGAAAGAUUUAUCGGUGCAGGAUGGGCCCGCGGCCUAUCAGCUUGUUGGUGGGGUAAUGGCCUACCAAGGCGACGACGGGUAGCCGACCUGAGAGGGUGACCGGCCACACUGGGACUGAGACACGGCCCAGACUCCUACGGGAGGCAGCAGUGGGGAAUAUUGCACAAUGGGCGGAAGCCUGAUGCAGCGACGCCGCGUGAGGGAUGAAGGCCUUCGGGUUGUAAACCUCUUUCAGCAGGGACGAAGCGUGAGUGACGGUACCUGCAGAAGAAGCACCGGCUAACUACGUGCCAGCAGCCGCGGUAAUACGUAGGGUGCGAGCGUUGUCCGGAAUUACUGGGCGUAAAGAGUUCGUAGGCGGUUUGUCGCGUCGUUUGUGAAAACCCGGGGCUCAACUUCGGGCUUGCAGGCGAUACGGGCAGACUUGAGUGUUUCAGGGGAGACUGGAAUUCCUGGUGUAGCGGUGAAAUGCGCAGAUAUCAGGAGGAACACCGGUGGCGAAGGCGGGUCUCUGGGAAACAACUGACGCUGAGGAACGAAAGCGUGGGUAGCAAACAGGAU